CCCAGUUUUACAAUACUUCCAUGGAAGGAGUGUAUUUGGAUGAGAAUGGGCAGUUGACAGUCGAAUCUGACGUUGUGAACUGGGUGCCAUUUCCCAACAAAUCCUUUGGUGCAGUGAAAUUUGGGAGCAUAAGCAGACAGGGAUCCUCAGGCCCAAAAUUCACCAUUGACCAAGAGGCUCUUGUGUGGUCCAGAAUGUUCAACCAGGUUUGGAAAACCAAUUCAUUGCAUUUACCCCUUUUAGAGGUAUGUUGCCUAUCCAACAUAAUAAUGAUCCAAGGAUUAGGGAAAUCCUACCUUUUUCUUUUUUCUAUGACUAUGACUUGUGUUUAAAUGUAAACUUUACUUUAAAAAACAAAUAAAAAAAUCUAUAAAAGGAAACAUGAAAAUGGAGAAGCAUGUUGGACUAUGACUGGGGCAUGGGCUUUUCAGUGGUCAGAAAGCAGGCCAGACUUAAGAAUUGAGCACAACACGGCUGCUCCAAAUACUUUUCCGUUUCAGCUUGUUUGUUUCUCUGGUUUUGAUAUUUUUAACUGACUGCAGAUUGGUACUGUGUUUACUAGAGCUUUGUUAUAAUGGCAGAGAGCUCUGACUCCUAAAUCCAAGGGCAAUACAGUCUCCAUGUAAUUCUUUCUUCUUGAUAAUCUCUUUCUACCCCAACUGUGUCCCAAGGGCUAUGACCCUCUGUUUUGUCCUAUGGAUCAAAAAAAAAUCUACACCAAAGCCAUGUCUAUGCCACAUAGAUUGAAAUUGUACAAUGCCCCAGAAAUUACUUGGCUUUCAUUGAUGCUUUCUGUCUUUUUGCUCAGACCCUUCCUCAUUCCAGGUGUACCCAAAGUUGUCGCCCUGGAAAUGACAAGAAGGUUCAGGAAGGGAAACCCAUUUGCUGCCAUGGUUGUGCUCCAUGUGCAGAAGGGAUGAUCUCCACUCAGGAAGGUAAGAGACUUGAGAGGAAUGUGCAGCAAAAAGAAUAUAUGUCCUUUUUUGAUGAAUAUUCAAAUAUAAUCUUAUGGUUGAAUUUAAUAAAAGUUCAAUGGUGAUUUACAUAGUCUUAAUAAAGCUUUCCAGGUACCACUGAAACAGCCUUGAGUAUGUAAGAAUUAGGCAGUGUUGCUGCAUCUGGUAGGCUCCCUUGACCAGUCAGUGUGGCAAAGUAGCUAGGAUGUUUGGUUUGUACUGGGAAGACGAGAGUUCCAGUCCAUGCUCCUCCGAGGAUUUUUUUCUGUAAAUUACGCCCAUCUGACAACACCUGGUGUUAGGGGUGAGAUCAAAUGUAGCUGCAAUUAAGGACUUGGAGCUUCGAGAUCACUCCAAGCUCUUCCUUGGGAGGUGAAUAAGAAGUUAUCAGCACGAGGGACCUACAUUGCAAGGACCAACUCUCUGUGUUGAUUAGCAGAAAUAGCAAGUCCCAUCACUGUUUCCAUUUGCAUGGGGUGGCUGGAUUCAAAAUUGACCUGCUUUUUUUUGCUAGUCUACAGAAAAAUGUUCAAGCAGACACUCUUUUUUCCCCAGAUGCAGACCACUGCACCAAAUGUCCAGAACAUCAACAUCCAAACAAAGACAGAGAUCAAUGCAUCCCCAAGAUUAUCACCUUCCUGUCCUAUGAUGAAUAUCCGGGGACCCUCUUGGCUUCCACUGCCCUGUUUUUGUCCUUAAUCACAGGCCUUGUUUUAGGAAUAUUCAUUAAAUAUCUUGACACUCCCAUAGUCAAAGCCAACAACAGGGACCUUUCCUACAUCCUCCUUGUCUCCCUCCUCCUUUCCUUUUUGUCCUCCUUUCUGUUUAUAGGCCGGCCAAGGAAAGUGACCUGCCUUCUCAGGCAGACGGCCUUUGGCAUCAUCUUCUCAGUUGCUGUCUCUUCUUUGUUGGCAAAAACUAUUACUGUUGUGCUGGCCUUCCUGGCCACUAAGCCAGGAAACAGGGUGAGGAGAUGGCUGGGGAAGAGUCUGGCCAACUCCAUUGUCAUGUCCUGUUCCAGUAUCCAAAUUCUCAUCUGUGUCAUCUGGCUGGGUACCUCUCCUCCAUUCUCAGACUCUGACAUGCACUCCCAGCCCCAAGAGAUCAUCCUGCAGUGCAACGAAGGAUCUGCUGCCAUGUUUUACACUGUCCUUGGCUACAUGGGCUUCCUGGCUGCCAUCUGCUUCACGGUGGCUUUCCUAGCCAGGAAGCUGCCUGGGUCCUUCAAUGAGGCCAAGCUGAUCACCUUCAGCAUGCUGGUCUUCUGCAGUGUUUGGGUGUCCUUUGUGCCCACCUACCUGAGCACCAAGGGGAAAUACAUGGUGGCUGUGCAGAUCUUCUCUAUCUUGGCCUCCAGUGCUGGGCUUCUGGGCUGCAUCUUCCUUCCCAAGUGCUACAUUAUUGUACUCAGGCCUAGUCUGAAUACAAAGGAGCACCUGACUACAAAGGCUUAAUAUGGCACCUGAUUCCUAAAAUAUGUUUUUGGUUUUUGCAAUUGAUAGCCAGCAUAAAGGCAGGACACAUGAGUUGGGAAUGUAGCUCCUUAAAAGCUAUUGUUUUGGAGAUCAGAACGCAAAAUAAUCAUUUAAAUCACAUUCCAUCCUUAGUACUGUUCAUUUCUUACCUGAUUUAGGAAUUCUUUUCUGAAUACUGUUUAUAUAUUUUGCCUAAUAAGAAAUCCUUAUCACAAUUCAAUAAUAAUGAAUGCUGUUCAUUAGGAGAAUCUUUUUUAAAGAUAGCAUUACAAAUAAAUUGCUUAUGCAUUGUUUUUCAAAAUGAAAAGAAACAUAUUCCAUUGGUAUCUCUUGGUAUCCAGAAGUCCUGGUGUGCUGAAGGUGGCGGGCGAGAAAAAAGAAGACUGGAAAUGGGCAGGUCAUGAAGGGAGGGAUGCAAUGGGAGCUGCAAGGGACGUGGCAGCUCAGGAGUGUUGCAGAUAUUAAUAUUGCACAGUCUGAAGCGACUGGAAGCACAAGAACUGACUCCUUCUGGAAGAAAUCAUUGUGAAGACCCAUAAAAAUAGUAUUCAAAGUUUUAGUGGCAGAACUCUUCAAAAACAGAGCAUAAUAAUCAAAGAUACUACCAGAAUAUCCAUACAAUGUCUUGUGCUGUCCAGCACAGGCUCAGCAUCUUAGGAAAAUAUGGAAUAAUCCAUGCAGACCUAGAAGCAGAAGUCUCUCUCUCCUCCUCAGCCCGCUUUCCAGCCACCAUUGGCCUCAGGCUGUUUACUCUCCCUUCAUUUUCAUCCUCACUCCAUGGAGCUUGGGAGAGAAAGACUAGAAUCAUAGAAUCAUAGAGUUGGAAGAGACCACAAGGGCCAUCGAGUCCAACCCCCUGCCAAGCAGGAAACACCAUCAGAGCACUCCUGACAUAUGGUUGUCAAGCCUCUGCUUAAAGACCUCCAAAGAAGGAGACUCCACCACACUCCUUGGCAGCAAAUGCCACUGUCAAACAGCUCUUACUGUCAGGAAGUUCUUCCUAAUGUUUAGGUGGAAUCUUCUUUCUUGUAGUUUGGAUCCAUUGCUGCGUGUCCGCUUCUCUGGAGCAGCAGAAAACAACCUUUCUCCCUCCUCUAUGUGACAUCCUUUUAUAUAUUUGAACAUGGCUAUCAUAUCACCCCUUAACCUCCUCUUCUCCAGGCUAAACAUGCCCAGCUCUCUUAGCCGUUCCUCAUAAGGCAUCGUUUCCAGGUCUUUGACCAUUUUGGUUGCCCUCCUCUGGACAUGUUCCAGUUUGUCAAUGUCCUUCUUGAACUGUGGUGCCCAGAACUGGACACAGUACUCCAGGUGAGGUCUGACCAGAGCAGAAUACAGUGGCACUAUUACUUCCCUUGAUCUAAAGGCAACUCCCUUUGGAAAUGGAGGUUUGCAACUCAAUUCCUUCAUCACAUGAUCAAAGGUUCACUCUCAGCACAGAGUAGAAAACAACCAACAGUAAUUUGUUAACAAAUUAAGGAGCUCAGUGCUUUAGGAAAUAGCUUUGGAAAAGCCCCAAUAUUAGGAACGCUUCAUUAAUACACAUUCAGACAUUUCCCAUUUUAAAGCUACCUUUACAUUUCAGUGUGAAUUAAAUCAAUUAUAUUUAGCAAGGAGUAGGGUGGCAAGAACAGGAGACAGUGAGCACCAUGCUCCUUGGACCCAGAUCUUCUGCCCCUCCCAACUGUCCCCAAGGCAAAUGUCUCACUGUGCCUCAUGGGGGUCUCCCCUGCACCCACAGGAACCUCAGGAAAGAGCAGAGCUCACAGCAGGAAGAGAACUCAGAUGAAUUUUCUGUACCCUUUCUAAAUAUUAGAGAGUAUAAGUAUUAACAUUGCAUUGUCCCUUCCUAAUCACAAGAUAAAAAUUGCCUGAAAAUAAUACCCAUCUCUCUCACUGUCAAUGUGUUACGAUAUAGAAGCAAUGCGGCCGCGAGCUGGUAGCUUGAAAGCAAAACAUAAUGGGAAUGUUGGGACUGUUCCGUGGGAAACAGAGGGACAGUCUAUUCACAGUGCGAAGCACCGGAAUUAGCUCAGAGUGUAAUAUGAGCUGUACAGGAAGUACAGGAGGAGUUUGUCUCUCGACUGCUGAAGCUUGAAGAGAGCAGACAUGAUUUUUGUAACACUGCAAAGACAGAAAUAAAGGCAUGUAACUACGUCUCUGUCUAUCUCUCUCCCCUGCCCAGGGGGGGCAGGAAAGAGGGGGGGUGUUCUUCUCACGCUGAGGAGGAUCGCCUAUCGCGACCUAGCCUGGAUCCUGCCGGGAAUGCAGACAGGGAGGUCAACAGGAGAUCAAGCCGGGUGCCUGGAGAGUGGCCAGUUUCUCCUGAUAAAUGAUUUAAUCCCAACAUAUGGUAGCACGGAGCCGAUGGUUUUGAUCCAUGAAAGCAACAAGAGAGGUUGAUGGAUCGUACUUCAUCCUCUGCAAGGAGAUAAAGAAAGAAUGUGGUAGCGGGCGGAUGGAAGCUACAAGGACGGCUGAGCACCGGAGGAGGUGUUUUUUGCUGAGCAACGGAUUCCCUCCAGGUAUGGUGAUUUUAUGGCUGUGAGAGUGAACGCGAAUUGAAGCAUUCUUCGGUUCACUGAGUGUCUGCUUUUGGAUGAAACCAGCACUGAGAGAAAUAGCCUGCAUAUUUCGCAUUCCUGGGGUUGAUAAGGGUUGCUGCUCAAGCCUGGAAUGUCCAGUUGCUAAGCAACGAAACGUCAGUAAGGUGGAAAGUUACUGGCCAACACGGAAGUAAGGCUGAGCACUGUGAGAGACUGGAAAAACACUGAGAAAACAGAGUUUGUUUUGUCUAUUAUCUCACUGCUCUUGGAGGGACUUUCAAAACAGCCUGUGUUUAGCUGCCAAGUGUGAGGCAGUAAACAGCCAAUAGACUUUUGGAGUUUACAGGCUCGAGAGUGAGAGCUGAGGCUUGGAUUCAAAAUGGAUACCAAGAAGGGGGGAGGCUUACCUUACCCACCUCCACUGACUAAUGACAAUUAUUCCUCAUGGUCUGUAAAGAUGAAAGCCCUGCUUCAGAAUCAGAGGAUUUUUGGGGUGAUUGAUAACCCCAUCCCUGCUGCACCAACGCCAGGUUGGAAUUCACAGAAUGUGAGAGCCAGGACGGCCAUAAUUCUGUGUAUCUCGGAUGAUCAGCUCGUGCAUAUUCAGCAUUUGGAAUACGCGCGUGAGAUUUGGCAUACGCUGCGUAGAAUACAUCAAAGAGAUGCUGGUUCUUCAGCGUUGCUGCAUUUUGAAAAGCUAACCAAUCUAAGGCUAGCGCCUGAUGGAGAUGUACAAGCGCAUCUGACAGAGAUGAAAUUCUUACGCCAGCAGAUGGCGGAACGCAAUUUCCCUCUACAGGAAGAGAUAUUCUGCUUCAUGAUUAUUAACAGCCUUAAUCGGACUUACAAAACGGUUGCAAGUCAGCUUGGUUCUCUACCUGCCGCAGAUCUUUCGACGGAGAGAAUUUGUGCCGUGAUUCUCAAUGAGAAAGACAGACUUGCUGCAAUAGAUGUCAAAGACAGGGGGAGAGAAGCUCGGAGUUCAAGCACCCCCGCUGCUAUUGCUAGUGAAGAACAGGCUGUUGCUUUGAACGUUGUCCGUUGUUUCAAUUGUGGACAGACUGGGCAUCUUCAGCGGAAUUGUAAGAAGCCACGUCAACAGAAAGGAGCUAAGGGGAGCUCUGCAAAGCCUGAGGCAUCAGGCAAAAGUCGUACCAAGUCCCAGAUGAAACCUGCGAAGGCAUUGCUGUCAACAAAAGCCGCAUUUUCAAUGGAGAACGCUUUUAUUUUGGACACUGGAGCGACGCAACACAUGACGUCGCGGCUAGAUCUGUUUUCAACGUUUAAGAAGCAAAGCUUCACUGUGAAACAAGCCAACGGUCAGGAGCUGGAAGCGACUGGGUUUGGAACUGUGUAUCUUGAGAGUCUGAACUUGACUAUAAACAAUGUGUAUUUGGUUCCUGAUUUAAAGUUCAAUCUGCUGAGUGUUUCGCAGAUCACAAAGAAAGGACUGACUUUGUCCUAUGAUAGAGAAAGCUGCAAAAUCUUCAAAGAUGGAGAGCUGUAUCUUUCUGCCAGAGAGAAAGAUGGACUGUAUUUGUUGACUUUUGAUCAAAGUGAUUGCAUAAAUUGUAAUGCAUCUGAUUCCAACAUGAUUUCUCUCGCAGGUGUGUCGAAAAACGUCCAGAAGACGACGCAAGUAACCAAAGCUUUUCAGCGAGUGUAUGCUGAUGUGAUUGGUCCUCUAGCACCGUCUAGAGGCAAUGCAAGAUAUUAUCUUGUGUGUGUGGAUUAUUUCUCUCAUUAUGUGUGGAUACAUAUAUUGCAGAAACCACAAGAAGCCUUAGAAAGGUUUAAAGAGUUUUGUGACAAGGUUAAGGAUGUUCAUAAUGCUAACAUUGAUUGUCUUUUCACAGAUGAAAAGCCAGUUUUUCUUUUGCAGGAUUUUCAGGAUUUCCUGGAUAAGAAAGGGAUAAGGCACAAGACUGCUGUUUCUGCAGAAGCAUGGAACAGAAGUGUCUGUGUGCAAGUGAACAAAGAAUUGCAAAAUGGCAUGAAGGCGCAAUUGCUGAGUUCACAUUUGCCACAUUAAUAUUGGGCAGAAUCGUUAAUGUGUUUUUGUUACAGUUGGGUGAGAAAGGUUUCAAAAGGUUUAGGAAGUUCUCCUUUUGAAAAGCUAUUCCACAGAAAACCUUCUGUUGCCCAUUUUAAGGUUUUUGGGUCUCAUGUAAAGACUGAAGCUCCAGGUGGAGUAAAGAAUGCUAGAGGCAUUUUUGUGGGUUAUGAAAAGGGUCUCUACAGAGUAAUUUUGUCUGAAUCUGGUCAGGUGGUUCUCACAAAAUUUCUAGAGAGUGCUCCUGAACAGGAGAAAGUAAUUGUUCACACAUUUCCCACUGAGGACAAUUCAGAUGAUGAUGAUGAUUUUACUGAUUACAGUGGUACUAAAAAUGACAGUGAUAGCUCAAAGAGCUCAGUUGACACAGUCAUUGAGAGGAAAUCUCACACAAUGGAUAGACCUUCACAGGUGAAGGAUGAACCACUGUUUACUAUUGGAACUGGUUCUCCAAAGAGUCCUGAGACUGAACCAGUGAGCAGAGAGGAUCAGCACCUCAUACGCAGGUCCGAGAGAGUUACAAAGGGUGUACCACCCAAGAGGUAUUCAAAAGAGUUUGCUAACUCAGCUGUAGCAUGUGUUACUAUUGUUGACAACUCAAGACAGGUUGAAGCUGUGUCUAAGUCAGAGACAAAGACACAACAGAGAGUUGCUAAGCGUAACACUACAUUCCCUAGCCAAGGUAAUGCAGAUGCACUCAUUCCUUGGAAGACAGACAACCAGAGAGGUACACUGGGGAAACCAGUGGCGGGUAGUUCCAAGGGUGGAACUGAAACAACAGGGGAGUGUUAUAUGUAUAACAACUGUUUGUUUUCUUCUCUGGAUCAUGCUUUGCUCGCAGCGCACAUUGAUUCAUAUGGGGGAGUAUGUUACGAUAUAGAAGCAAUGCGGCCGCGAGCUGGUAGCUUGAAAGCAAAACAUAAUGGGAAUGUUGGGACUGUUCCGUGGGAAACAGAGGGACAGUCUAUUCACAGUGCGAAGCACCGGAAUUAGCUCAGAGUGUAAUAUGAGCUGUACAGGAAGUACAGGAGGAGUUUGUCUCUCGACUGCUGAAGCUUGAAGAGAGCAGACAUGAUUUUUGUAACACUGCAAAGACAGAAAUAAAGGCAUGUAAAUACGUUUCUGUCUAUCUCUCUCCCCUGCCCAGGGGGGGCAGGACAGAGGGGGGGGUGUUCUUCUCACGCUGAGGAGGAUCGCCUAUCGCGACCUAGCCUGGAUCCUGCCGGGAAUGCAGACAGGGAGGUCAACAGGAGAUCAAGCCGGGUGCCUGGAGAGUGGCCAGUUUCUCCUGAUAAAGGCUUGAAUCCCAACACAAUGAAAACUAAUCAAUGAAUAGAAAGAAAAUCUACCCAUGUGAUGCUGAAACAAAACCUCACACAUACACUAUGUAGAAAAAUGAAAGUUUACUAUCCCCUUCUCUCCUUCCUUCCUUCCUUCCUUCUUUCUCUCUCUCCCUACCUCUUUCCUCCCCCAACGUUAUACGAUAUACAACAUUAAAACCUUGCAUCAAAUAUUUUUUAUUUUUUAAAAAAUAUUUUUUAUUAACCGGCCAAUCACAUCAAAUUAAAUCACAUCACAUAAAUUCCGAAUUACAAAGCCGAAUUUUGAAUUUUGUUGGGGGACCCAUAUUUCAAGAUCCGAAGGGGGAUUCUGAUCAUCUUCUUGCUACUGCGUUAAUGUCCAAAUCAGUCCAAAUCAGUCCAAACAGAGUUCAUAAUUCUAUCCAGUCUUAUCUUGCUGUUUCCACAUCACAUCUUGUUCAUAUAUUUUCUCUUUUUUCUUUAUGAUCUCUUCUGAUAGUCUCCUUAAGCCGAUAAACACCAAUAAUAAUAAUCCUGUGUGAAUUUUUCCGUUCUUCCAAUCCUCAAAUCGAGAUGGUUUCCAUAUAUCAUCGCCUUCAUAGAUAACAUCGCUCUUUCCAUCAUUAAUUACAGAACUGUCGCUCUUAAGUCCCUCUGAGGAGUUUCACCCACAAUAUAAAAACAGCUCUAUUUCUCUAUUUCUCCUCUCAGACUUAAGUCCACCGACAGAACUUCCCAAUAUGGCGACGGCUUUUUUAACUGCGUCAUUCCAAAGCCCUUAUACAUUCCACGCUCUUCUUAAAACAUGCUUUGGUUCGAAAGUUUAUCUCCACACAGCCUUAAAUCCACAGCUUAAGUCCUUAAAACGACAUUUCUGACUUGUGGGGGGGGGGAUUCUUGUUUAAUCACAUAAGGAAAGAAAGGAAAGUUUUCCCCCCUCCCCCAUCAGUCAUUUGCCAUACCGAGUCUUGGCGUAUCUUCUCAUAAUCUAUGCUUGUCCCUCCGACUCGUCUUGUUUUAUCAGAGAUCUCUUCUGUUAGCAGUCUUUGCUCCCCCUCCUUCCUUGAAAUAUGUGCAUUCCUUCAUCCAAAUUGUUUCUUUUGAAGUUCUUGCAGCUAGUGGCGCGGAUCAGGGAUGGCGUCCCCGAGUGCCGGAAUCCCACAGGACGGCUUUGUGCCUAGUGCCCCCAUCCCCACAAAUUCGGGGGUGGUAUAGGGCACAGCAGGCAAGGGCACCCAUGUGAUGCUGAAACAAAACCUCACACAUACACUAUGUAGAAAAAUGAAAGUUUACUAUCUCCUUCUUUCCUUCCUUUUUCUCUCUCUCACUACCUCUUUUCUCCCCCAACCUUAUACAAUAUACAACAUUAAAACCUUACAUCAAAUAUAACUGAUCUAUAGAAAGGACUUUAUGAUAUGAAAAUAGAGACAAUGUAUGGUCUUUUGUAACCCAAGAAAAUCUUUAAUAAAAACAAUAAAUAAAUAAAUAAAAUAUUCCAUGAGGGGAGGGUCAAUAAUAAUAUAAUGAAUGUAUCUAGUAGUACCACUAUCACAAUGAAUACAGUAUAAAAGAAAAAAAAUGAAAUUGCCAUCAAUAAAUAGCACACACAAAAACAACAACCGAUGACAAACAAGUUGCUUCGGCCAACCUUUUUUAAAUUUAUGUAUUUAUUUGUACACUGCUUGAUUUAAAAAACAAACUUUGAUUUGGUUGCAACAUGAUGCAACAACAAUAACAAAACUGAUCCCCACCCAACUGGUUCAUGGGCUCUCAGGUGGGCAAAAGGAAAUGUUGGCAUGAUGGGAUGCAGGUAAAUGGUGAAGCAGGCUGCACGAUGGUGGUCAGAAGGUUGGAAGCCGCCUUACGCUGAGCCAGAUUCUUGGUUCACCUAGUUCAUCCAGCUUCUCACUGACAGGCAAUGGCUCUCCCAGAUACCAUACUGGGUUCCCCUCCCAGACCUGAAGCGAAUCACCAGAAGCAUUGGGAAAGAAGCUGCUCUGCCACAGAAAAAAUUGGUGGACCUUCCCCACUCCCCACACUCACGUAGUUGCUAGGAAGGAGAACAAUAGACAGAGUUGUGCCGGAAGCCAAAUACAUAGUUACAUGCUUGCUCUGUACUGGAUUCAUACCUGUGACCAGUACAGUGGACGCUCGGGUUGUGAACGUGAUCGUGCCUUGCGCAGGCGCAUAAGCGCCGAAUCACAAUCCGCACGUGUGCAGACACGCCGCUCCGGGUUGCGAACGCUGCAGGUUGCGAACAUGCAUCCCACACAAAUCACGUUCGCAACCCAAGCGUCCACUGUACAAUAUUUGAAAUAAAAAACAAAACCACACAAUAAUUAUUGACUCUCCUUCCAUGGUGCAUUUUAUUACAUUCUUUUUCAACUCCAUAUUCUGAUUUCUUCCUAUAUCUUAUUUUUCACCAUCUUUAUAUCUCAAUAUUUUUUUAAACUGCCAAAUUUAUUCCAUUACUGUUAACUUUUUAAUAUGUUUACAGUAUGUCUCCAGAUAAUCUAUAAGCAUUUUCAAUCUUUCUCAAAUAGUUUUUUUUAAUCCAGAUCUCUUAUUCUAUUUAUCAGUCUUGCCAUUUCUAUUUAUUCUAUUAACAUCAUCUGCCAUUCUUUCCUUGGCGUUGUAUCUUUUUUCCACUUCUGAGAUUAGGUCUAAUUUGAUCCAAGUGGUUUGGAAUCAGGAUCUCUUAUGGACCACCUUGUGGUCUAGUAGUGGAAAACUUUCCCAACUAAUCCUGUCUCCUCCCACUCUACCCUACAUAGAAUCAUAGAUUUGUAUAAUCGGAAGGGACCCUGACCACCUUGUUUGUUACCCAGGUGAGGAACCUUUGGAAUAAAUCACAGAACCAAGGGAACUUCUUGGAUUUAGGGACCAAACAUUUAUUAUAGCUAUUGCAAUAGGACAGAGCUCACUCAACUCAACAUGCCAGUUGAGAAGGUCUGCCUCCAGGCACUUCAGAAGAAAAGCUCAUAUAGUAGUUCAAACAUAGCAAAUAAUCAUUAAAAAAUCUUCACAUAUGUCAGGAAAGGUUACAAGUCAUGAGAAGUAAAGCACACAUGGCUCCAUCCUGGUAUCUUCACCCCCCACAUCACCUUGGGGUGGUCCUCGUGUGACCAGGCCAUUGGACCAUUUGACGUCUUGGGUGUCUGGCAUUAUCCUGGCAACCUAGCCUUCAGUGAGGGAAGAGCAUGAUAAAAUCCUCUUCCUGGGUCUCAGAUAGCUUCAGGGAUAGCUGAGUUACACUCUGGUGCUAAAACAUCCUGCCAUUUGUACCACUUUCAGAGGUAGAUCAGGAGAGAGAAGAGAGCAGCAUAGGAGGUAGACUCACAAAUGCAGAAAACACAAAAAUCAAGCCGAAUACAUUCUAAAAGGUUCCAAAAUACAUUCUACAUGCAAAAUACAUGCAAAAAUAAAAAAUAAAAAAUGCUCUACCACUGAUUCUCUAAAAAGGGGUUUCUUUAGCAAGUUUUGUCAAGUGUCAGGCUAUGGGACACAGUGGCGAUUUCUCACAAACAUGUUUUUCCUCAAGUUCUGCACCUGUUCCUUGAUCAACCCAGGAGGUUGCAGGAGGAGAUGUUUAAUUAUGUAAUUAUAGUCUUCUGCAAAAUCUCCAGGGAUUUCUCCAUAAAGAUUGCCUUUGCAACUGGUAAUGUUAAGUCAGAACCAAGGCCAAAACAAAAAAAGUAAUUUCUCAAGAACUCAUCAGAGGUGCUCUGCUUCAAGGCCAAAGGCCAAUGUGAUCCAGCAUUUCCAUGCACUCUGGCACUUGUCAUGGUGUCCUGUUGCAUCAGAAGCAGUUUAGUCAUGCUGGCCACAUGACCAAGAAAACUGUCUGUGAAUAAACACCGGCUCCCUCAGUCUGAAAGCAGAGAUGAGCACAGCACCCCAGGUCAAAUUUGACUGGACUUAACCAUCCAGGGGUCCUUUACCUUUACCUUGACCUGCAGUUUCCGAACCAUCCUCAAAGGCACUCCAACAUAUAACUCAUUGCAGUAGUCCAACCAAGAACAGAAGUUGGGCUAUUGCAGUUGUGCUCUGGGGUCCUGCAAGGUUCUGCAUCAUUUGGUUGAAGAAGUUAUCUGUUCUUGCACGAGGUGGUGGGGAGGUUGUGUCUCCUUUUUUGUCUGGUUUUUUAUUUUGUUGUGCUUAUUUUGCCUUUGUGGGCGAACAUUGCCAGUUUUUCCUCCAUGAAAUUGCUAUUUUGUGGUGCCCACAACAGUGUCUUACUUUUCCAAAUGUGCACACAACCAAGCCCAAAAAUUUUGGUGGACCCCAAGCGCCAGGCAAGACUACUUGUUUUCUCUUCACUUUGCUAUGAAACAUUCACAUCCCACUUCUCUCUCAGUGGAAAACUGUUCAAAAGAUGUUCAAGGCUAGCUAGAUAAAUCUUGAUUUUGACUCACAUGAAGGUAUAGCAGAGCUAAGGUAGAGAACUCUAGAAAGGGCGGGGAAUUACUGAGGCUCACCAGUCACAAAAUGGCACUGCAGGGGUGAAGCCAGUGACAAAAAAGAAUUCCUAAAAUGCUCAACCAAUAGUACAGUAAUAAUAAUAAGAAAUACUACUCCAUCCCACUAAAAGUUCAGCACCAUGGUCAAGGCCAGCUUAUCUGAAGGAGCGUCUCCACUCCUAUCGUUCUACCCGGACACUGAGGUCCAGCACCGAGGGCCUUCUGGCGGUUCCCUCACUGCGAGAAGCCAAGUUACAGGGAACCAGGCAGAGGGCCUUCUCAGUAGUGGCGCCCUCCCUGUGGAACGCCCUCCCACCAGAUGUCAAAGAGAACAACAACUACCAGACUUUUAGAAGACAUCUGAAGGCAGCCCUGUUUAGGGAAGCUUUCAAUGUUUGAUGUAUUACAGUAUUUUAAUAUUUUUUUGGAAGCCGCCCAGAGUGGCUGGGGAAGCCCAGCCAGAUGGGCGGAGUAUAAAUAAUAAAUUAUUAUUAUUAUUAUACCAAAGGCAUGUAUAGAUGGAAGUGUCUUAGCCGGCCAUCUAAAAUGAAGAAUGAUGGCACCAAGCAUAUUUCUGGGGGGUAGUAUUCCACAGCUUAGCUCCAGAAACAGUCAUCCUUCCGGACUUUCAUGUAGGGGCCAAAUCAAAGGGCUGAAACUUAAUGAGGUCUGCUAGUGACAAAAUGGCAGGUCCGCCGGAUGAGCCAGUGACAAAACUGUGGCAGAUGGAGGCAGAGUUUGGCAUAAUCAAGCAGCAAUUAAUGACUCAGGAACCAGUAUUGUGACUCAGCCUCCCCAAGUUAAGCAGAAUCUCUGCAUUCAAAAGCACUAAGUGGAAAAGGCUUUUUGUUUCAUAUCACCCGGCAUGCCUCACAUUUUACUUGUCAUCUCUUGUUUCUUCUUCCCUAUUCUUUUCACAGCUUGUAUAAUAUACCUCCAAAAAUGAAGGGAAAAUGUGUGUGCGUCCUAUGGGGCGAAUCCAGGCUUUCGCUGAAGCCUGGAAAGCGAGAGGGGUCAGUGCGCACCAACCCCUCUCGCUCUCCAGGCUUCAGGAAGCUAUCCGCAAGCCGGGGGAGCCCACGGGAGUUCCCCCCGGGCUCCCCCGGCUUGCGCAGAGCUCCCUCUUAUUCCGAAGCCCCGGCGUGCUGAGCAGUCGCACCGGGGUUUCGGGUAGUUCUGCGCAAGCCACAGGAGGGCUCCCACGGCUUGUGGAGAGCAGUCUGUUCUGGGGGCUGGGGUCGGGGGAAGCUCGGGCUUCCCCCGCCCCAGCCUCACGCCUUGGGGGGGAAAAUAAUUUUUUUUUCUUUAUUCCCCCCCAAAAAAAACUAGGCGCGCCUUAUGGGCCGGUGCGCCCUAUGGAGCGAAAAAUACAGUACCUCCAAAAACUGUCAUCUUUCUUCCCUGCUCAUUUUAUAUUCACUUUUUCUUCGUUUCCCCCUCUCUUAUUCCUUUACUCUUUCCCCCCAGGUUGUUGUAAUUCUAGAUAUUAACCCUUUAUCACGCGCCCUAAUUUCCCACAACACAUCCUCUUGCCUUUUCCCUCAGACCAUAGAGAUCUCCUUUCCUUCUUUAAACCCUUGCCCUCUUUCAGCCUCUCUGUCUCCUGGACACCUUUAUGCCCCUUUAAACUGUCAGUAAUGCCCUUGGUCCAACCAAAGAGCUAUGUGUGGCCCAGGGGCAGGAUGGGUGAGUUAGGAGGCACUGGGUGGGCUGUGGCACUGAGGCCCACUGCUGGACCAUGGCCCAGUCUUUCAGAAGUGCUGGGAAAGGUCAUGCCAGCCUCCCGUGCCCCUCUCUGGCCCAUGUCACAAGUAGAACCACAAUGCAGUGGGAAGUUCUUCAGAUAUCUAAAGGGUCGUCACAUGGAAGAUGAAGCAAGGUUGUUUGCUUCUGCUCUGGAGGGUUGGACCUGAAAUAGUGGAUCAAGUGACAAGAAAAGAGAUUCAGACUAAACUUUAGGAAGAACUUUCUGACAGCUGCUCAACAAUGUAAAUCUCCUUCAGGGUCCCUUAUCAUACUGCAAUUCUAUAGCUCUAUGAUUCGAUGGAACAUGUAUUCCUUCAGGUCUACACCUGGCGCCAUAAAGGGAGUUCAACAUGGUGUGAAGGCAAACGUAAUUAUUAAAAAUAAUGGUGAUUUCUUUCUCAUCAUCUUGCCAAAGCUCAAGAGGAAUAAAAUCAUAUUUGCGUCCAGCAUUGAACAACAACAUGAUGUAACUUCAUCAAACUCAACCAGAAGAGACUGGUACAUAAAUACUUCUCCACUGUGCCACUGAGGGUGGGGUGGGGUUAUGCUGCCCAUAUGGGGCUGAAGUGAAUCCUCUUUGGCUCUCAAGCCAUGUAUGCUAGGCAUGUUCUCUCUGAUUAAGUUGCUGCAGCCUGGGUCUUCCAAGCAGAUUUUGACUGCUGGUAAUUUGCUAGCUCUGUUGCUGAUAGCACUCAAGAAGGAGUAAAAGGCAGGCACAUAGUAAGUCACCUUCUGCUGUUGCUAUUGUUACUACCUGAAGCAACACCAGAGAUGCUGAACUCAAAAUGCCCAUUGACUUUGAUAAGGGAUCCCAAUGCACCCUUGAAUUGGUACAGGCGAGGAGACUACCAUAUUAGUGGGGUCAUAUCCGCUACACCUGUUGGGUUCAAUCCAAGCGUCUUCAAUGAGCCUCCCUCAACCAGAGUUAAUGGGUAAGUCCUUAUGUGCCUACUGUUGUAAAAGCUUUAUGCAAACUGAAUGUGACCUCAUGGAGACCAAAUGUUGUUGUCUGCUAGGCACGUAUCCUCAUUUCUGGUACCUUUGCUUGGUCAAUUAUGUCUUCUAUUUUCGUCCCUUUGGAGGGAAAUGGUAGGAUUCGUUCUGAAUGUCAGAAAGUUAUCUACUGCAAACUGUGUGCUUUCACCCACACUAGUGAGACCUUUGCUUUAGAAUAGCCCACUCUUCUAAGAUUUGGACAGGAAGCGGUUGAUGGAUCUCAGGUGUACAGAUGCUGCAGAAGCAUCUCAUGAUUUUUGCCCCCCAUCACAGGUAAGGAUGACACAAUCUGGUCUUUGUAUGGAAAAAAUAUCAAGAUGACACACACUUUUUUCCAGGUUUGGAAUGCGGGCCUAUUGGCAUAUCCUGUCCUUCUUGUUUGCCGUUCGGGAGGUCAAUGAGAACCACAUGCUUUUCCCCAACCUCACCCUGGGCUAUGACAUCUAUGACAACUUUUACGACGCCAGAAUGACUUCUGGUGCCCUGGUGGACCUGCUCUGUCCUGGGCAGCCAAACAUCCCAAACUAUUAUUGUGGACCAUGGAAUAAAGUAUUGGCCGUUAUUGAGGGGGCUGACUCUGACACAUCCAAAGAUAUUUCCACCAUGUCAAGCAUCUACAAAACCCCACAGGUAUGAAUGUCAGGAGGGAAGGAAAAAAUCCCAGAAUGUUAUUGCAAUUUCUUUGGAGAGAUGUGAAAAUGUCAUUCCUGCUUCUAAGGCAGAAGGAGAGAUUGGCCUCAAUCCCCUCUUAACAAAGAUGACUAAGGAGAUUCUGGGUUUGUCCACACUUCCUCCCAUCCCAUGGCUAGAAAGCAUGGGUCUGAGUGGCUUUCCAUUUCCCUUGUGCUUUGUAGGCAUGGGUCCAAGCCAUUUCUCCCUUACCCUGCUCCUUUCCCAGGAAAGCCCUGUGUUUUAUGGCGAUGGAUCUUUGAGGAAAUUGUCAAAAUUAAGGCAGAAGAAUGGAAUAAGUAAUGAAAGCUAGUGGCAUGUGAGAUGCAAAUGAACAAAUAUGCAAAAGGAAACAUUAAAGAAACAAAAGGCAAAAUACAAAAAAAAGUGCAGGACAAGGCAAUGGAAUGUCAUCCUUUGAAACAAACUAUGUGAGCUCAGGCUAAGCAAGCCUUAGACAAACCUGUAAAAGUAAGAGCAAUUUACAGUAAAGGAAAAGCUUGAGACUUACAUUCCUAAUGUGGUCCUGCUUAUUAUUUACAUAUUCAUAUGCUACCUUGACUCAUGAAAGAUAAUUAGUUUCAUGGAAAAUAACUGGAUCACUUAGCUUUAAUGGCUUCUCUAUGCUUCCCCUCUAUGGUCCUCUUUAAUCAAACAUAGAAGACAUGGCAACUCUUAGAAUCACAGAAUGAUAGAAUAUUAGAGUUGGAAGAAACCCAAGGGUCAUCAAGUCCAACCCCCUGCAAUGCAGGAAUCUCAACUAAAGCAUCCAUGACAGAUGGCCAUCCAACCCCUCCCUAAAAAACUCUGAGGAAGGAGAGUCCACAACCUCCGAGAGAGACCGUUCCACUGUCAAACAGUGCUUACAGUCAAAAAGUUUUUCCGUCAUGUUUUAUUGGAGUCUCUUUUCCUUCAACUUGAAGCCAUUGGUUUGAGUCCUACCCUCCAGAGCAGGAGAAAACAAACAUGUUCCCUCUUCUAUGUGACAGCCCUUAAGAUAUUUGAAUACAGCUAUCAUAUCUCCUCUCAGUCUCCUCUUUUCCAGGCUAAACACACCCAGCUCCUUCAACCAUUCCUCAUAAGGCUUGACUCCUAGACCCUUGAUCAUCCUAGUUGAACCUCUUCUGCCCAUGUUCCAGCUUGUCAACAUGCUUCUUAAACUGUGGUGCCCAGAACUGGACACAGUAUUCCUGGUGUGGUCUGACCAAGGCAGAAUAGAGUGGUACUAUUAUUUCCCUUGAUCUGGACACUAUGCAACAUAUGAACAGAUAGCUUAUAGACUUCGACUGUUUAUGGACAUACCAGUAUAUUAAGAUGUUUGGAAAGGAUUCAUAAAAAGAUAGUAUGUUAUAAACAAUAUCAUAUAUAUUAGAAUCAUCAUUUAUAUACCACUGUAUUAUAUAUGCAUGUAUAGAAUUAUAGUUUUCCACUUGUUUUUAUGAACCCCUUUUUUCUUUUUACUUUGUUUAACUGAAAUAUUUUCAAUAAGAAAUAAAAUUUUAAAAGUAAGAAAAAAAAUCUUUUUAAAAAGCAGCCACUCCCUAUAUCACAUUUUGCCUCUGCGUCCUUCACAAUUGGUAUUUGUGUUGUGAUUGGAUUGUUUUUUUAAAAAAAACAUCAUUUCUGAAGGCGAGGUUUUGAAGAGUACAGGGCGGAGAGCAAUUCUUAAACAUCUUCACAAAUUUUGGCAUCCAGGAGUGUUGUUUUAAGUUUUUCUGUCUGGCCACACACCCUGGAAUGAUCUAUUCUUGUAAUAUGCUUUCAGUCUUUUUUCCCCAAAAUUUUUUAUUGAUUUUCCAAAUUUAUAAAUAAACAAACACACACACAUAAAUCCUAACUGUAAUUAUUCCACUAUUAUUAACAUUGUUAGGUGACUUCCUCAAAUCCCCUGGCUGAAUUUCAAUGUAUAUCAUUGUAACAGUUUUCCAAAACUAAUUUCUCAUAAAAUUUACUUAGUCAAUUAACUUCUUUCUUACUUUUCAUAUAAACUUUAAACAUAUUAUUAUAUAAAAUCACAUAUUUAAAUCCUAAGCCAAUUUGGUAUUUGCAAGAAUUUCUAUUUAAAUUAUCUCAGCAUAUUUAACUAAAUAUUCUUUAAAUUUCAUCCAUUCUUCCUGGUACUCCUCCUCCUUCUGGUCGCGGACUCUUCCGGUCAGGUCGGCUAGCUCCCAAAAGUCCAUCAUCUUCAUCUGCCAUUCCUCCACUAUUGGCACUACUUGUGUUUUCCAAUUCUUGGCUAACAAAAUCCUUGCAGCAGUUGUGGCAUACAUAAACAAUCUAACAUCUUUCUUGGGCAAUUCCGGACCUAUUAUUCCAAGAAGAAAGGCCUCUGGUUUCUUAAUAAAUGUAUAUUUCAACAUUUUUUUCCAAUUCAUUAUAAAUCUUCUCUCAGAAGUCUUUCAGCUUGGGGCAGGUCCACCACAUAUGAUAAAAGGUACCUUCUUUUCCUUUACAUUUCCAACGUAGAUUAUCAGUAUUGUGUUUUACAGGAGUUAAGUACCACCUACACAUCAUUUUCAUAAUAUUUUCCUUUAACACCGAACAUGCAGUGAACCUAACCCCUUUCCUGCACAACCUUUCCCAGUCUUCAAACAUUAUGUUAUGUCCAACAUCUCUUGCCCAAUCUAUCAUCACAGAUUUAACUUGUUUGUCCUUUGUAUGCCACUCCAACAAUAGAUUAUACAUUUUAGAUAAAUUUUUAACUUUAGAAUCUAACAACUCCGUUUCCAACUUGGUUUUUUCUGAUGCAAAACCAUUUUUCUUAUCUAAUUUAUACAAUUCAUUGAUCUGAUGGUAAUGUAACCAAUUUAUUUUAUCUUUAAUUUGAUCAAAUGGUUUUAAUUUAAAUCCUUCUUUUUCUUCCAGUAAUAGAUCUGAAUAUCUCAACCAAUUAGUUUCCAUAUUUAACUUUUUCUGGGCCUUUGCUUCCAUUGGCGAAAGCCAUCUGGGUGUUUUCCUUCCUAAAAGAUCUUUGUAUUUUAUCCAAACAUUAUAUAAGGGUUUUCUAACUCCAUGAUUUUUAAAACCAUUAUGGGCCUUUGUCUUGUCAUACCAUAGAUAAGCAUGCCAUCCAAACACAUUGUCAGAUCCCUCCAAAUCUAAAACAUCCACGUUAUCUAGUUGUAUCCAUUCCUUAACCCAACAGAGAGCUGCGGCUUCAAAGUAAAUCCUCAAAUCUGGCAGGGAAAAUCCUCCUCUUUCUUUAGAAUCUGUUAGUAAUUUAUAUUUAAUUCUGGGUUUUUUCCCCUGCCAGAUAAAUCUAGACAAAACUUUCUGCCAUUCUUUAAAACAUUUCACGUUGUCAAUAAUUGGGAGGGCUUGAAACAAAAACAACAUCUUUGGCAAUACAUUCAUCUUAACUACCGAGAUCCGACCCAUUAAUGAUAAUUUUAAAUUUGACCAACUCUCAAGAUCUCUCUUAAUUUCAUUCCAUAAUUUCUCAUAGUUGUCUUUAUAUAAAUUCAAUUUUUUCACUGACAAAUUAACCCCCAUAUAUUUUACUUUUUCCACAAAGACUAGGCCCAUCUUUUCUUGUAAUAAUUUCCUUUCCUCAUUGUCCAAAUUUUUCUCUAGCACUUUGGUUUGGCUCUUAUUUAACUUAAAUCCUGCUACCUGUCCAAACUCCUGUAUCAUCUCCAGUGCUUUUACUGCACUGGAGUCUGGGUCUUGAAGUGUCAGUGCCAAAUAAUCAGCAAAGGCUUUUAAUUUAUAUUGUUUUGAUCCUACUGAUAUACCUUUAAUUUGUUCAUCUUUCCUUAUCAUGCUUAACAAGACCUCGAGAACUGAAAUAAAAAGCAGAGGGGAAAGUGGGCACCCUUGCCUGGUACCCUUCUCAAUUCUUAUUUCCUCCGAUACCACAUUAUUUACUAUAAUUUUAGCUUUUUUGUUCACGAUAGAUCACAUUAAUACCAUUGAAAAAUUCCUGACCAACCCCAAUGCUUUCUAAAUUUUGUCUCAUAAAACUCCAAGAUACAUUGUCAAAGGCCUUCUCCGCAUCAAUAAACAUUAACAUUGCUUUACAAUUUUUUCUUGCUUCCAAUUUUUCCAAAAUAUCUACUAGAUUCCUAAUAUUAUCUUUCAUGUGUCUUCCAGGCAGAAAACCUGCCUGGUCCUUAUGAAUAUAUUCUGACAAGACCUACUUCAGCCUAUUGGCCAAUAUAUUGGCAAAAAAAUUGUAAUCCACAUUGAGUAAGGAGACUGGUCUAUAAUUUUUAACAUUAGAUCUAUCUUGAUCUUGUUUUGGAAUCAGAGUAAUGUAAGCUUCCUUCCAGGUUUCGGGUGCUUUGUCCCCUCCUAUAAUCUUGUUGCAAACUUCUAACAAUGGCUGAAUGAGCCAGUCUUUCAGGAUCUUAUAAUAUUUUGCUGACAAACCAUCUGGUUCCGGGGCCUUGCCAAGUUGCAUUGAAUUUAUUGCAUUUUCAACCUCCCGUCUUGUAAUUAAUCCAUUUAGUAGGAUCCUUUUACCUUCGGGAAUCUUCUGCAAACCAUUAGUUCUAAUAAAUUGCUCAAUUUUAACUUUAUCUUCUUUACUCUUUUUAUACAGUUGUUUGUAAUAUUUCUGAAAGCAUUUUCUUAUGUCCACAGGGUUCUCUACAGACUUUCCAUCUGAUACAAUAUUUGUAAUAGUACUUUGUUUUUGCCUCUUUUUUAAUUGCUGAGCUAAAAGUUUCCCACAUUUAUUUGCAGAUUCAAAGUUCCUUUGUCUCAUCAUUCUUAAUGCCCAUUCUAUUUAUUGAUUGAUAAUCUGUGAAUAAUGAGUCUGUAAAGCUUUAAUUUCCUUUUGUACCUGCAAAUUCUUUGGAUUGCCUCUAAGGAUCUUCUCUUCAUCUUUUAGUUGGUCCAAAAUUUUAUCUUUCUUUUCAUUCUGUAUCUUUCUCCUAAUUGAAUUUUGUUGAAUGGGGAACCCUCUCAUUACAGCUUUACUGGGGUCCCAAAUAACCCUUGUUUCCAUGCCCUGGUUCAUAUUAAUCUCAAAAUAGUCCUUUAAGGCUUUUUGGGCCUUAUUUACAAUUUGCUCACUCCUCAGCAAGUCAUCAUUCAUUCUCCAUCUGAAAGAUCCCUGUAUAGACAAUUUCACUUCCAUAAAUACUGCAUUAUGAUCUGAGCAAGUUUUAGGGCAAAUUUCUGUUUUUGUUACUCUGGGAACCAAGUCUCUGGAUAGCCAUAAAUAAUCAUUUUCUCAAAAAUGAUUGAUUUGCAUCUGAAUAGAAUGUGAAGUCUUUUUCAGUUGGAUUUCUGACUCUCCAUAUAUCUGAAAGGUCAAAUUUAUGAGUUAUAUUAAAAAAAGUCUUAGGUAGUCUGCCAGCAUUCAAUAUUUUUUGUGUCUGAGUUCUAUCCAUUAAAGUGGAUGCCACUCCAUUCAGAUCUCCCAUUAAGAUUAAUUUAUAAUCCAAGUGUUCCAAGAGGCUUGUUUCCAGUUUUUUUAAAAAAUCUGCCUUACCAUCAUUGGGUGCAUAGAUUCCCAAUAGCAAGUACUUUUCGCCUUGUGCUGUAAUUUCCACUGCUAUGUAUCUUCCUGCCUCAUCUUUAAAAAUCAAUUUUGGAUUCCAUUUUUCUUUAACGUAGAAAACCACUCUUUUUUUUUACUGUCUGAAGAAAUAAAUUCUUGACCAAGUUUCUUAUUCAAUAAGAUUUUUCUAUGUAGUCUUGUAAUGAGUGUUUCCUGUAAACAAAUUACAUCCAAAUUCUGUUUUGCCAAAACAUGAUGAACCUUCCUCCUUUUCUGAAGGGAAUUUAAACCAUUCACGUUCCAAGAAUAAAUUCUUAAAGCCAUCGUGAUAAGUUACGGGGUCGCUGCUCCCACCCCUUGAAGCUGUGGGCUUUCCAAUCCAAGUUUGACUCUUUCUCUCCAACAAUCUUAAUUCUUUGUUUUCUUCCUUCAAAUUUGAAGGAAAGGCCCUCUGGGAAUUCCCACCUGAAGAAAAUAUUUUCCCUCCUCAGAAUGGUGGUCAGGUCUGUAUAGUUGGAUCUCAAGCUCAAAAAGUGUUAAUGGAUCUCUUUGAAAAGGAUGAUGGCUUUAUCCUGUAUUUUUAAACCUUUUUUAUAAUGCAGGCCCAAAAUGGUAUCUCUUUGUUCUUUAGUCUUAAAGACCACUAUGCAGUCAUAGGUGAUUUUUGAAUCUUUUUUGGGACCAAAUCUGUAGGCCUUUUCUAUCCAAGAGUCAACUUCGUCUUUUUUCAAAUCCCACCACACCACCCGUUGAUCUAUCAUCCACUCCCUGAGCCGAUCCUCUUCCUGUUGAGGCACACCUCUCAAUCUUAAAUGAGAUUCCUGUUCCUCAUCUGAAGAAAUGCAAUCAAAUUUGAAUAUUCAUACUGUAAUCUUUCUAGAUCAAUCACUCUAACUGUCUCAAGCUGUGUCAAUCUUGUCUCAUGGAUUGUGACCUCAGUCUUCACCUCUUUCAGCUCCACUUUCAAGUCUUCAAAAAUUUUAUUCAAUUUUUCAAUACCCUGUGAAUUGUGUUUUAUAUCAUCUUUAAUUUCUGACAACAGUUGCAUCACAUUAUCCUCAAAAGCUGUACUUCUAGAGCCUCGUCUUACUGCUCCCUUAUCUGCUUUGUCCACACUCAUAGUUGCUCAGGAAUUUCAAGGUCAAAUAUAUGCUUUCAUUUAUUUUUUUUAAAUAAUAUUUAUUAAAAGUUUAAGAAUUACAGAAAGAAGUAAAAAAGAAAGAGAAAAAGUAAACAAUACAAAUCAAUACAUUACAGUACAUAUAAAAAACCAAAAGACACAAUACAUCAAAACAAAAACAAAAGCAAAAACAAUUAAAAACACAUCCAAUAUUUCCAUAUCUUUAUCUUUCAUUAACUUGUUUCAUCGACCUCCUCACACCUCCCUUUUUUGUAUUCUAGUUAUUAAUUAUUUCAACAAAUCCUUUCCAUCUUUCACUGUUUUCUGUCAUUUAAUUGUCUUAAUUUAUUUUGACCUUAUCUUACCAUUAAAACCCUAAAACUUAUUUAUACUUAACUCCUUAUAACAUUUCUACUAAAGCCGUAUAAUUUCAUUCCAACAUUUUUCUAACACUCAUUAAUUUUACAAUAUUUCUCUAAAUAAAUUUUUAAACUUUUUUUUUCCAAUCUUCUUCCACCGUCUCUUCUCCCUGGUCUCGGAUUCUGUCAGUCCUUUCUAUCAAUUCCAUAUGGUCCAUCAACCUGGUGAUCUUCUGUCCGAGGCUCUUAACUCUUUUCCAUGUCCCUUCUGCAGAUCUUCUUCAUAUUUAUACAUGCACUUUACUUUAUCUUCUGCUGAUCUUGUUCUUAAUUUCCUUCCUUUGGCACUGAGGAGUAGAUCUCGGGGAAACUCCAACCUAACAAUGUCUUUAUUCCUUCUCGACAGGUCAGCCCAUUCUCCAUAGUCAGAACUAAAGUCCAAAAGAUAUUUCAGAGCGUGUUUCAAAAUCCCUCCAAAGCUAAAGGCCCCCACAACUCCAAUCUCCCCCUGACCCAAAUCCAGAUCCCAAAAGCCAGAACAUCCCUGCAUAAGGGGUCUAUCCAACUUUCCUUCUCCAAUCCAAGCGAGACUCCAUUCCUCCAAAUCUGGCUUUCUCUAGAUUCAAUCGUAAAAGGCAACAGCUUAUGUUCAUCAAAUUGCCUCUGUAAGGCCGGGGCUCUCUCCACUUGUAUUACUUGAGGUUCAACAACAACUUUCUCCUUCGUCUUCUCCACAGCUUGCCAUGUCAAAACAGAUUCCUGAAUCAAUUCCUGAGUAGUUUCUGUAUAGGUAUUCACUUUUUGUCCCAAAUCAGUCAAUUUGUCCCAAAUUGUCAAUUUUAAUAAUCAUCACAUCCGUCUUCUCAUGAAGCUGUUCCAAUAAAGCACUUGUCUUGCAAAAUGCAAUCACUAAGGCUUCUUCUGUCAACAUUCUUGUCCAAGGUCAAGCUCUGAUUCUCACGGUCUUUAAUCUCUGCAGCUGGAAAAUUCCCCAGCUCCACUCCUGCAACAGUUUCAAAAGCUCCCUCUAGGGAAACAAUUUCUAUUUGUAUCCAUCCUUUUAAACGCAGAUCCAGCAACAAAGUUAGUUUCGAUUUUCAGUUACUUUUGCUCCUUUUUAAGUGCAAAAGGAAACAAUGGAAACAAUAUAUUUCUCUUAUUUAACUAUCUGUCAACAUACGUUUUAUUCACAGUCAAUGAACUUUCCCAAAACGUCGAUCUUACUGGCAGCCCGUUCCCAGGUUCAAAACGGUGGUAAUUUAUCUUUCUUCACUUUCUCUCCUGCAGGCUUAGGCGAUCUAAAAUUUCCCCCCUCUUCUCCUGCUUCCAAGGGGGGUUUAGUAAUUUUAACCGAUGGAGAUUUACUCCUUUACAAAAGGCUUUCCAGACUUUAGCUUGCAAUGUCUUUACAAAAGAGGAAGGCGGACUUCCUGUUUGAAACCUUCCCGUUUCGGUGCCAAAUUAAGAUGUUUAAAGAUCCAAUUUUCCGUUCUACUCACGGGUAGUUGUUUAAAGUCCAAUUGUCCACAGGAAAAAGUCAGCGCUCUCUGGCAACAGCAAUGCGGCUUCAUUCCGUGAAAGAAGCAGUCGAUUCGAAGCACCGCGCCGCUCACCCCACGUCACUCCGGAUCCCCAAAACUGGGUUUCCCCGCGAGUAGGGGAGGCGCAAAAGGUGCCAGCCGAAUCCCACGUCCACAGGCUUCUCCCGCCUGUGGUUUUUAGUGGGUCUCCGCCUCGCCGUGGCGGUCCAGACCCUGAUUUCCACGGAGCGGAUUCCUCCCGAUCAGAGGAAAUCCGCCAUUGCCGGAGGUGCUAACCCGGAAGUCCCAAAUAUAUGCAUUCAGUCUUAAUCAGAACUCUAGCCACAUAAGAUUUUGCAUUUCAGGGGGUUGGACUUGAUGGCCCUUGUGGUCCCUUCCAAUUUGACGAUUCUGUGAUUCACUAGUAUUGUAUCUAGGAAGGUAAAAGGUAGAAGUAAAGGACCCCUGGAUUGUUAAGUCCAGUCAAAGGUGACUAUGGGGUGCAGCACUCAUCUCACUUUCAGGCUGAGGGGGCCGGCGUUUGUCCACAGCCAGCUUUCUGGGUCAUGUGGCCAGCAGGACUAAACCACUUCUGGCACAACGGAACACCAUUUCCAUGCACCUUCCCACUGCAGCAGUACCUAUUUUUCUACUUGCACUGGUAUGCUUUUGAACUGUUAGGUUGGCAAAAGCUGGGACAGAGCAAUAGCAGCUCGCUCCAUCAUGGGGAUUCAAACCGUUGACCUUCAGAUCAGAAAUCCCAAGAGAGUUAGUGGUUUAGACCACGAUGAAAUACAGGGAAUGCAGUAUAAAAAUGCAGAACCAACUAGAGGAGAAACAACUGGGAGGAGAACCCAAAUGAAUUCUAAUAUUCUAAUAUAAUAAUAAUAAUAUAAUAAUAAUUCUAAUAUUUAAAAAUGGAACAUAGAAAUAAGUCAGUAAAUAGUUAUGAUUUUGCAUUGUGCCAUCAUAAACACAAAAUGAAAUGUGUUGUUGUUGUCAAGCUAUAUUUAUUCUCCAAAGCUUGUACAUUUAUUUGGGAUAAAUCUGCACACAUUUCUCACUAAAGAAAUUGAGCUGAUGAUAUUAGGAGGAGGAUUAUAGUGUAUGCCACAAGGCAGGUUUCUUCUACUACAAAUACCUCAGCAAUCUAUUUAGACAUCUGUAGGGUUUAUAGCAACUAAUUUUAGAGCUUAAUUUUAUAUAGAAGAACUGAUGGCUAUUAUAGGUCUAAUGUGAGCUAAAAAUGUUCAUUGUAAUUUUGUGUGAGCUCUUUUCUUUUUAACAAAAUCUGUUCUUUCUUCUUAAAUGUGACACUUUAAUGAAGAAAUAAGGAUGAGAUCAUAUACAAUUAAAUAAAACUGCUACAAGAUACAUGUUCUAAAAGCAGUAAAAAAAUGCAAUCAGGGCAUAACAUAAAGCAAACACAAUCCAUUCCAAAGACUCUGUCACCGUUUUUUGAAAGCAAACAGCUAAAUACAGUGGUGCCCCGCAAUACGAAUGCCUCGCAAGACGAAAAACACGCUAGACGAAAGGGUUUUGCGGUUUUUGAGCUGCUUCGCAAGACGAAUUUCCCUAUGGGCUUGCUUCGCAAGACGAAAACGUCUUGCAAGUUUGUUUCCUUUUUCUUAAAACCGUUAAUAUCCAGGGUGCAUUGCUUGAAGAGGUGCAGUUGCGACUUGACUUCGAGGAGCAACUCAUAGCACGCGGUGUGGUAGCCUUUUUUGAGGUUUUUGAAGACUUUGCUGAUUUUUGAAGCUUUUCCAAAACUUCUUUUGCAGCCAUUUGGUAAGUUAAACUUUUAAAACUUUUUUGGGGGUUUUUGGAUUUUGGGUUGGGGUGUUUGGAAUUCAAGGACUUGGUGUUAGGGAGGGGUUUGCAAGAAUCUGGAAGCUUGUGUGUUUUUUUUCUGCAUUUUAAUGAUUUUUUGUGACCAUUGGGCCACUCUGCUGUUUUUUUUAAAAAAAAUUCUGGGUUUGAAUUUCUGUGUGGUGGGUGGCUGGGGGAACAGUUGAGGAGGGGUUUGCAAGAAUCUGGAAGCUUGUGUGUUUUUUUCUGCAUUUUUAUGAUUUUUUGUGACCAUUGGGCCAUGUUGUUUUUUUAAAAAAAAAAUUCUGGAUUUGAAUUUCUGUGUGGUGGGUGGCUGGGGAAACAGUUGAGGAGGGGUUUGCAAGUAUCUGGAAGCUUGUGUGGUUUUUUCUGCAUUUUUAUGAUUUUCUGUGACCAUUGGGCCAUGUUGUUUUUUUAAAAAAAAAAUCUGGGUUUGAAUUUCUGUGUGGUGGCUGGCUGGGGGAAUGGUUGGGGAGGGGUUUGCAACAGUUGGGGAGGGGUUUGCAACAGUUGGGGAGGGGCUGGGGGAACAGUUGGGGAGGGGUUUGCAACAGUUGGGGAGGGGUUUGCAAUUUCUGUGUGGUGGGUGGGUGGCUGGGGGAACAGUUGAGGUUUUUGAAGACUUUGGUGAUUUUUGAAGCUUUUCCAAAACUUCUUUUGCAGCCAUUUGAGGUUUUAGAAGACUUUGGUGAUUUUUGAAGCUUUUCCAAAACUUCUUUUGCAGCCAUUUGGUAAGUUAAACUUUUAAAACUUUGUUGGGGGUUUUUGGAUUUUGGGUUGGGUGUUUGGAAUUCUAGGACUUGGUUCUGGGUUUGAAUUUCUGUGUGGUGUGGUGGGUGGCUGGGUGCUUUUGAAUUUUUUGGAUGUGAAGCACUGAUUCUUUUUUUUUUUUUGAGUUUGCGAAGGUAGGAGCUGUGCUGCCAUGGGACCCAAGAAGACUGCUGCUGCAGAGGCUGGCAAGAGGAAGAAGGAGAAGGUGACGCUGGAAAUGAAGAAGGAGAUCAUCCGGAAGCACGACGGUGGAAUGCGUGUGACAGACCUCGCCAGGGAGUACGGGAGGAAUCCAUCGACCAUCGGGACCAUCCUGAAGAUGAGGGAGAAGAUCCUUGCGACUGAUGCAGCCAAGGGAGUCACCAGGAUCGUGAAGAACCGCCCAGCUGUUCUGGAGGAGGUCGAGAAGUUGCUGCUCAUCUGGUUAGAAGAGAAGCAGCGUGCAGGGGACACAGUGACUGAGGCCGUCAUUUGUGAGAAGGCCAAGGCCUUGCACGCAGACCUCAUCCGGGAACAGCCAGGAACCUCAGGCGAGCCAGAAGUCUUCAAGGCAAGCAGAGGCUGGUUUGACCGGUUCAAGACGAGAUCUGGAAUCCACAGCGUGGUCAGGCAUGGAAAGGCUGCCAGUUCUGAUGUUCCUGCGGCUGAAGACUUUGCAGCGGAGUUCCUGGAGGUUGUGUCCUCUCCAAAGAACUGAGGGACAUUUGCCAGAAGUGGAAAGAUGUGCAGGCUUUUGCACAGCGGCACCACCCUGACAAGGACCUGACACGUGACCUUGCGAACACUUUUGAUACGAGGGUCAUGUCGUCUUUCAGGGAGGUGCUGAAAAGGCGGAUGAAGCAGCAGACCAUGGACAGGUUCUUCAGCAAGAAGCAAAGGGUGGAAGAGGAACCUUCUUCGAGUUGUCCCCCAGAGUCUUAGAAAAUGUACUGUACACUUUGUUGAUUUUUAAAUGUUUUUCUGUCAUGUUUAGAAACUUAAUUUAUUGUUCCUUCAAUUUUUGAAAUGCUCUUUACAGUAUGUGUGACUUUAAAGAGCAGUUAAUAAACUCUUGUUGUAACAAAUUUGGCUUUGUUUGGACUUCUUUGACCAUAGGAACGCAUUAAUUGAUUUUCAAUGCAUUCCUAUGGGAUUUCGUGCUUCGCUAGACGAAAAAACUCGCGGAACGAAUUAAUUUCGUCUUGCAAGGCACCACUGUAUGGGGUGUUGUUAAGCUCCCUGGAGUAAAGCUUCUUAGCUCCCAUGAAACUGUGUCUUUUCUCUGUUUUCCAUGUCAGAGAAAAGUUAUCAUUCAGGCAAGUACAAAGUACUACAUUUGGGAUUUUGUUGGGGGUGACAACACUAAUCUCUUCUCUUCUUUACUAGGUCAGUUAUGGUUUUGUUUCUGACACUCUUAAUGACAAAACUCAGUUCCCUUUUAUCUACCGAAUGGUCCCCAAAGAGGAACAUCAGUAUCUGGGGAUAGUCCAACUUCUCCUGCACUUCAACUGGACUUGGAUUGGCCUCGUUGCUCCAGACACCAACAAUGGAGAGAGGUUCAUGAGGACCUUGAAGCCCCUGCUAACCAGGAACACAAUUUGUGCUGCCUUCUCACUUAGCACCUCAGUACUGGAUACGAGAAUAACAGUGCCUCUCAAAACAUUUUUCAGGUGGAACGAAGUCAAUGUAUUAGUCUACUAUGGGGAGAAUCAUUACUUCUUUAGUAUAAUACGUUAUUUGCAAAAAGUGGUUGAAAAGCAUAUAAGACCCAUUGUGGGGAAAGUCUGGAUCACAACAGCUUUGUGGGAUCUCACCUUGAAUUUGUCUUAUGAUCUGCUUUCUCCCCUGCACAUCCAUGGGUUUUUCUCUUUCUUAACUCGUAUUAAAAGAAGGCCAAACUAUGAUAAUUAUGAAACAUUUUACUAUCCUAUGUGGAAGUUUGGGGAGAAAUCAUUUAAGUGUUCAUAUUCAAAGCACAUCUUGUCUGUAAAAGGAAGGAGAAGGUGCAGGGAAGAUGACACUCUGGAGUCCCUGCGUGAUGAAGUGGUUGAGAAAAUCCUGUCUCUGGAUAGUUACAGUAUUUACAAUCUUGUCCUUGCUCUGGCAGGCGCCUUAAGGGCUGCGCUUUCCUCCAAAUCCAAUCAGAUGGUGGCGAAGGGUAAAAAGAGGCUGAAAUAUCAAAGGAUACAGUCUUGGCAGGUAUUGCUGUUUUCCUCACAGGCUGAACAGGCAUGGGUGCUGUGAAUUCCAUUCAGGCUUGACUUUACUUUGCCUCCAUUUACUGUACUGUUACCCACAUCUUAAUUUUGCUGCUGAGAUGAGAAAACAAUCUGCCUCCACUUUACCACCUGAUUCCUUAGCAAGGCUUCAUGCUAUUACUAGCCAAGGAAACUCAUCCUUGCAGAAUUCUUCUGAGGGUGCAGAAUAAAGCUUAUGUAUCUCACGGCUUUAGUCUGUCCCAAAAGGCUGAAGCAGAAACAAUGGGCUAAAGAUCCCAUUGUCAGUCUGUACAAAGAUCUUCAGCAAUUAGGCUAUGUUAUCUAGAUAAUUUUCUUCUUUUCUAAAUGUGCAUGCUUUCUUUCCUGUUCUAGCUUCACCCUUUCCUGGGAAGCUCCCAGUUUUAUAAUACUUCCAUGGAAGGAGUGUAUUUGGAUGAGAAUGGGCAGUUGACAGUCGAAUCUGACGUUGUGAACUGGGUGCCAUUUCCCAACAAAUCCUUUGGUGCCGUGAAAUUUGGGAGCAUAAGCAGACAGGGAUCCUCAGGCCCAAAAUUCACCAUUGACCAAGAGGUUCUUGUGUGGUCCAGACUGCUCAACCAGGUUUGGUUGCAUUGUAUUCCCUUUUAGAGAUAUGUUGAGCUCUGAUUCUCUGUUGGGGGAAACAAUAGUAUAAUUUAUGCCUAUUCAAGUAAUGAGCUAAAACUAUACGGGGGAGGAGAUGAAUGGAGGAAAGUCAAAAUAAGAAACAUGAAAAUGGAAAAGCAGGUUAGAAUAUGACUGGGGCAUGGCUUUUGCAGCAGUCAGGAAGCAUGCCAGACUUCAGAAUUGAGCACAACACAGCUGCUCCAAAUACCUUUCUGUUUGUUGGUUUCUCUGGAUUUUGAUAUUUUUAAACAAUUUCAAUAACUACAGAUUUGAUCUUUGACUCCUAAAUCCAAGGGCAAUACAGUCUCCAUGUAAUUCUCUGUUAUUGUCUAUUUCUGCUUCAACUGUGUCCCAAGGACUAUGACCCUCUGUUUUGUCCCAUGGAUCAAAAAAAGCAUCGAACACCAUAGCCGUGUCUAUUCCACAUAGACUGAGACUAUACACUGGCCCAGAAGUUACUUGCUAACAGUCUUUCAUUGAUGCUUUUUUCUCUUUUUGGUCAGACCCUUCCUCAGUCCAGGUGUACCAAAAGCUGUCGCCCUGGAUAUGCCAAGAAGGUUCAGGAAGGGAAACCCAUUUGCUGCCAUAGUUGUGCUCCAUGUGCAGAAGGGAUGAUCUCCACUCAGGAAGGUAGGAGACUUCAGAGGAAUGUGCAGCA
Molecule: non-coding RNA, 30749 nt
Organism: Podarcis lilfordi (Lilford's wall lizard)
Lineage: Eukaryota; Metazoa; Chordata; Lepidosauria; Squamata; Lacertidae
Source: the annotation of a GenBank genome assembly